Molecule: unclassified non-coding RNA, 474 nt
Filed under: Hevea brasiliensis (rubber tree)
Lineage: Eukaryota; Viridiplantae; Streptophyta; Magnoliopsida; Malpighiales; Euphorbiaceae
Source: RNAcentral
GGAAUUCUUACACUCAAGGACUAAGCGUGGCAGAGGUGCAGUUGGAUCACGAAUGGAUGAAACUGGUCCAUACCUUGCCCCUUACAAUGAGUCAGAUUCGAGUUGGCCAACAUGCUCUAAUGUUACAGAUAGAAGUGUUGUUCUUGGACCAGAAAAGCCUAAUUCUCUGAAAUCAGACAGCUCUUCCGAAAAGGAGACGGACAAUGAUCGGCGAAAACGGUCGAAAAGAAGUUCACACAAGCAGCAUAGCAAGGACCAUAAGUCUAAACACAAGUCUGAGAAAAAGAGGAGGAAAGAAUCAAAGAAAAGCAAACGCCACAAAUAAGAGCCUCCAGAAUUGUUAGUUGCAGCGCGUUACUCUGGUGGUAAAGGUACCUGAUACUGAAUCUAUGUACAUCAUGAAUAUAGAUUUCUGAAAGUAUGAGAUUAGGGAACUCUUGUUGGGCAGGAUUUCUCCUCUGGAUUUGUUUGGUU